Molecule: ribosomal RNA, 86 nt
Filed under: Legionella pneumophila
Lineage: Bacteria; Pseudomonadati; Pseudomonadota; Gammaproteobacteria; Legionellales; Legionellaceae
Description: partial 16S ribosomal RNA
Rfam family: Bacterial small subunit ribosomal RNA
Source: RNAcentral
ACGUUUACCACGGUGUGGUUCAUGACUGGGGUGAAGUCGUAACAAGGUAGCCGUAGGGGAACCUGCGGCUGGAUCACCUCCUUACA